This 505-nucleotide ribosomal RNA is filed under the name uncultured bacterium. RNAcentral describes it as "partial 16S ribosomal RNA". It matches the Rfam family "Bacterial small subunit ribosomal RNA", at positions 28 to 507 of the family's 1533-position model. The record is from RNAcentral.
GACGAACGCUGGCGGCGUGCCUAAUACAUGCAAGUAGAACGCACAGUUUAUACCGUAGCUUGCUACACCAUAGACUGUGAGUUGCGAACGGGUGAGUAACGCGUAGGUAACCUGCCUGGUAGCGGGGGAUAACUAUUGGAAACGAUAGCUAAUACCGCAUAAUAUUAAUUAUUGCAUGAUAAUUAAUUGAAUGGUGCAAUUGCACCACUACCAGAUGGACCUGCGUUGUAUUAGCUAGUAGGUGAGGUAACGGCUCACCUAGGCGACGAUACAUAGCCGACCUGAGAGGGUGAUCGGCCACACUGGGACUGAGACACGGCCCAGACUCCUACGGGAGGCAGCAGUAGGGAAUCUUCGGCAAUGGACGAAAGUCUGACCGAGCAACGCCGCGUGAGUGAAGAAGGUUUUCGGAUCGUAAAGCUCUGUUGUAAGAGAAGAACGGGUGUGAGAGUGGAAAGUUCACACUGUGACGGUAUCUUACCAGAAAGGGACGGCUAACUACGUG